This 464-nucleotide ribosomal RNA is filed under the name Vreelandella stevensii. Its description in RNAcentral is "partial 16S ribosomal RNA". It matches the Rfam family "Bacterial small subunit ribosomal RNA", at positions 338 to 795 of the family's 1533-position model. The record is from RNAcentral. Lineage: Bacteria; Pseudomonadati; Pseudomonadota; Gammaproteobacteria; Oceanospirillales; Halomonadaceae.
CCUAGGGUGGCAGCAGUGGGGAAUAUUGGACAAUGGGCGAAAGCCUGAUCCAGCCAUGCCGCGUGUGUGAAGAAGGCCUUCGGGUUGUAAAGCACUUUCAGUGGGGAAGAAAGCCUUGGGGCUAAUACCCUCGAGGAAGGACAUCACCCACAGAAGAAGCACCGGCUAACUCCGUGCCAGCAGCCGCGGUAAUACGGAGGGUGCGAGCGUUAAUCGGAAUUACUGGGCGUAAAGCGCGCGUAGGCGGUCUGAUAAGCCGGUUGUGAAAGCCCCGGGCUCAACCUGGGAACGGCAUCCGGAACUGUCAGGCUAGAGUGCAGGAGAGGAAGGUAGAAUUCCCGGUGUAGCGGUGAAAUGCGUAGAGAUCGGGAGGAAUACCAGUGGCGAAGGCGGCCUUCUGGACUGACACUGACGCUGAGGUGCGAAAGCGUGGGUAGCAAACAGGAUUAGAUACCCGAGUCGUC